This 494-nucleotide ribosomal RNA is filed under the name uncultured bacterium. Its description in RNAcentral is "partial 16S ribosomal RNA". It matches the Rfam family "Bacterial small subunit ribosomal RNA", at positions 28 to 507 of the family's 1533-position model. The record is from RNAcentral.
GACGAACGCUGGCGGCGUGCUUAACACAUGCAAGUCGAACGGUGAAGCGCCUUCCUUUUUGGUGGGUGUGGAUGAGUGGCGAACGGGUGAGUAACACGUGAGUAACCUGCCCCCUUCUUCUGGAUAACCGCAUGAAAGAGUGGCUAAUACGGGAUAUUCUGGGUCUGUCGCAUGAUGGGUCUGGGAAAGAUAUUGUUUCGGUGGGGGAUGGGCUCGCGGCCUAUCAGCUUGUUGGUGGGGUGAUGGCCUACCAAGGCGGUGACGGGUAGCCGGCCUGAGAGGGUGGACGGUCACACUGGGACUGAGACACGGCCCAGACUCCUACGGGAGGCAGCAGUGGGGAAUAUUGCACAAUGGGCGCAAGCCUGAUGCAGCGACGCCGCGUGAGGGAUGGAGGCCUUCGGGUUGUGAACCUCUUUCGCCAGUGAAGCAGGCCUGCCUCGUUUGUGGGUGGGUUGACGGUAGCUGGAUAAGAAGCGCCGGCUAACUACGUG